This 497-nucleotide ribosomal RNA is filed under the name uncultured bacterium. RNAcentral describes it as "partial 16S ribosomal RNA". It matches the Rfam family "Bacterial small subunit ribosomal RNA", at positions 28 to 507 of the family's 1533-position model. The record is from RNAcentral.
GAUGAACGCUGGCGGCGUGCCUAAUACAUGCAAGUCGAGCGAACAGACGAGGAGCUUGCUCCUCUGACGUUAGCGGCGGACGGGUGAGUAACACGUGGAUAACCUACCUAUAAGACUGGUAUAACUUCGGGAAACCGGAGCUAAUACCGGAUAAUAUAUUGAACCGCAUGGUUCAAUAGUGAAAGACGGUUUUGCUGUCACUUAUAGAUGGAUCCGCGCCGCAUUAGCUAGUUGUUAAGUUAACGGCUUACCAAGGCGACGAUGCGUAGCCGACCGGAGAGGGUGAUCGGCCACACUGGAACUGAGACACGGUCCAGACUCCUACGGGAGGCAGCAGUAGGGAAUCUUCCGCAAUGGGCGAAAGCCUGACGGAGCAACGCCGCGUGAGUGAUGAAGGUCUUCGGAUCGUAAAACUCUGUUAUUAGGGAAGAACAAAUGUGUAAGUAACUAUGCACGUCUUGACGGUACCUAAUCAGAAAGCCACGGCUAACUACGUG